GACGAACGCUGGCGGCGUGCUUAACACAUGCAAGUCGAGCGAUGAAACACCUUCGGGUGCGGAUUAGCGGCGAACGGGUGAGGAACACGUGAGGAAUCUGCCUUCCACUCUGGGAUAACUCCGGGAAACCGGGGCUAAUACCGGAUACUUUCAACUGGCGGCAUCGCCGGUUGAAGAAAGUUUUUCGGUGGAAGAUGACCUCGCGGCCUAUCAGCUUGUUGGUGAGGUAAAGGCUCACCAAGGCGACGACGGGUAGCCGGCCUGAGAGGGCGACCGGCCACACUGGGACUGAGACACGGCCCAGACUCCUACGGGAGGCAGCAGUGGGGAAUAUUGGGCAAUGGAGGAAACCCUGACCCGGCGACGCCGCGUGAGGGAUGAAGGCCUUCGGGUUGUAAACCUCUUUCAGCAGGGAAUAAGCGAAAGUGAAGGUACCUGCAGAAGAAGCACCGGCUAACUAUGUGCCAGCAGCCGCCGUAA
RNAcentral lists this ribosomal RNA (480 nucleotides) under uncultured bacterium. Its description in RNAcentral is "partial 16S ribosomal RNA". It matches the Rfam family "Bacterial small subunit ribosomal RNA", at positions 28 to 523 of the family's 1533-position model. The record is from RNAcentral.